Molecule: ribosomal RNA, 253 nt
Filed under: uncultured bacterium
Lineage: Bacteria
Description: partial 16S ribosomal RNA
Rfam family: Bacterial small subunit ribosomal RNA
Source: RNAcentral
UACGAAGGGGGCUAGCGUUGCUCGGAAUUACUGGGCGUAAAGCGCACGUAGGCGGCUUUCUAAGUCGGGGGUGAAAUCCUGGAGCUCAACUCCAGAACUGCCUUCGAUACUGGAGAGCUUGAGUCCGGGAGAGGUGAGUGGAACUGCGAGUGUAGAGGUGAAAUUCGUAGAUAUUCGCAAGUACACCAGUGGCGAAGGCGGCUCACUGGCCCGGUACUGACGCUGAGGUGCGAAAGCGUGGGGAGCAAACAGG